ACCACAGAUAUUAAAAAUCUUUCAAGGUCACACAUAUCAUCAUCAUCAUGUUAGGCGGCCUUGAAACAUAACAUGGGACAGGAAAUAAGGAGCAGCACCCGAACGUUUCUGUGUUACUUUCAAUGAGCAUUGCGCAGUUAGUAUAACGCUUGUGGUACACCAAGGAUUCUUUGUAUAUUCCGUGGGGUGCACCAUGGUGAGCUAGAGGCAGCAGCGAACCAAUGGCGCUUCGGCUUCACUUCUAUGACAUCAUGCUGACUUCUUCCAUCUAUAUUGUCCCAUCUAGGCAUCUACUGUGACAGUUGUAUGAAAAGUGUGACAGGUUUUUGAGCACGAAAAUCUCUAACGAAACGCUUUUAGACUCGAUAAUUAGGAAGAGGCACGCAACUUUAUUUAGUGUUGUCAGCUGAUCCCAGAUCGAGUCCCAGCCAGGAAGACAGCAGCCAUUGCCCAUUGGGCCAGCCCCGGUUAAGAUGUGUGUAGCCUUGUCUCAAGUUUUCCGCCGUUCUCGCCAUCUCAGCUGUCGUGCAAACCUGAUUCGCCACACAGGGACAUCAGGUUUCAGUCAUGAAGUUUGUGAUGGAGCAUGGGAGCAAGGAUUGAGGAUGGCUAGGCAGGCUGGGUGGUGUCUGCAGCCAGCCUAAUAGUAUCCACACCACUCCACUGUCCUUUAUUUCCACCAAGGGAGGCUGUGCACCACAUCUCAUGCAAGUAAGGUGUGUGUGUGUGUGUGUG
This is a long non-coding RNA of Portunus trituberculatus (swimming crab), 735 nucleotides long. RefSeq lists it as uncharacterized. Lineage: Eukaryota; Metazoa; Arthropoda; Malacostraca; Decapoda; Portunidae. The record is from RefSeq and is a predicted model, not a curated record. The transcript has 2 exons.